RNAcentral lists this ribosomal RNA (849 nucleotides) under uncultured bacterium. RNAcentral describes it as "bacterial SSU rRNA". It matches the Rfam family "Bacterial small subunit ribosomal RNA", at positions 26 to 873 of the family's 1533-position model. The record is from RNAcentral.
AGGACGAACGCUGGCGGCACGCCUAACACAUGCAAGUCGAAACGGAGUUAGCAAGAAGUUUACUUUUGAGCUAACUUAGUGGCGGACGGGUGAGUAACACGUGAGUAACCCGCCUUUCAGUGGGGAAUAACGGCUCGGAAACAGUCGCUAAUACCGCAUAAUGUCUCGGAGUCGCAUGACCCUGAGACCAAAGAUUUAUCGCUGAAAGAUGGACUCGCGCCCGAUUAGCUAGUUGGUGAGGUAAUGGCUCACCAAGGCGACGAUCGGUAGCCGGACUGAGAGGUUGAACGGCCACAUUGGGACUGAGACACGGCCCAGACUCCUACGGGAGGCAGCAGUGGGGGAUAUUGCACAAUGGGGGAAACCCUGAUGCAGCGAUGCCGCGUGUAGGAAGACGGUCCUCUGGAUUGUAAACUACUGUCUUCAGGGACGAUAAUGACGGUACCUGAGGAGGAAGCUCCGGCUAACUACGUGCCAGCAGCCGCGGUAAUACGUAGGGAGCGAGCGUUGUCCGGAAUUACUGGGUGUAAAGGGAGCGUAGGCGGGUCUUAAGUCCGUUGUGAAUCUAUCGGCUCACCGGUAGCUGCGGCGGAACUGGGACUCUUGAGUGAAUAGAAGCAGGCGGAUUUCUAGUGUAGCGUGAAAUGCGUAGAUAUUAGAAGAACACAGUGGCGAGGCGGCUGCUGGCUUUACUGACCUGAGCUCGAAGUGUGGGAGCAAACAGGAUAGAUCCCUGGUAUCCACACUGUAACGAUAUUCUAGUGUGGGGGUCUGACCCUUCGUGCGGAUUACACAUAAUAUCCACUGGGGAUACGCCGCAGGUGAAUCAAGGAUUAGGACUUUAGAAUU